UGCACAGUGUUGCAUGCACCAACUUUGCAUUGUUCACUCAUACAAUUUUAAUGUGUCAUAGGGUUAGUUUAAAACAAAAGGAUUUUUGUAUACGAUUGCGGUGCCUGCCCUGGACUGCCAUGGAUACAGUUGGAAACCAGCCAUACCAGCAAAGGCUUCUUAACUCCAUGUUCAGUUCCAUUCCCCCAGCACAGAACACGAGUGUCAAAUUCCAGUAGGAUUACAAGAGGAGCUAAGAGCACUGCUCCUGGUGGGAGCUGCCUCUGUACCUCUCUCCUGCUCUCUCUGCCUCUGUGCUCCUCUCACAGCUCACCUGGAGCUGUGUGCUGGAGGGAAGGCUGAAGGCUCUGAACCAGAGGUCUUGUGCCUCCUGAAAUAUCAGCUCACGUGAGGGAGGAGGCUUCAGGGUGAUCAGGGAGUUGGCACGGGAUGUGCAGAAUGAGUCCUCCAGUGUCCACGUUGAGUUAGACUUCAAAAAAAAAAGAAAGAAAAGGGACAACUUUGUUCCUUCUGGUCUUUUUAUUUUUUGAAUGUGCUUCUUGUUGAUUAAUGGAAGGAGAAAGUAUUGUAUGAGGCAGGUAGAGAUCAGUCUUUCUGUAGCAACCCCCCUGAUCCCCUCCCCCAAUUUGCACCAGGCAAACGCGACUAUUCCCUGCCAAGUCCAGCAGACUUCAGGGGGCCUCAUAAAUCAUCUGAAACAAAACAUUUUUUAAUCUGAGACGUGCUUGCCUGACAUGCAAAUUUAUUACCUGUGCCAGGCAAACAGAUGCUGUUCAAAUCCCCCGUGUCUGCCUUUUGUUUACCUGUGUGAAAGGAGAAAAAAGAGAGAAAAUAAAAGAGGAAGGAAUCAGAGCGAAGGGGCUGGUUUCAUGGAGCAGAAAGUAGCAGCAGAAACUUCCAAGGAAAAGCAACAUCCAGCAGGUGUGGAAAAUGGGGGAAAAGGGCUUCCUGUGUCAGAACCAAAGCCCUCACAGUUUUGGAAACAGAAAAUGGCUAAACAGACUGAGAAAAUGCAGUGGGAGCUGUGACAACCAAAGCCUAUUAGGAAGGGCACGUGUCUUCUUGCUGACAUCAAACUGUUAAAGCCUGUGUGCUAAGCCCAAGUGAGACACAAACCUGUUUCCAUCUUGACACCUCUGGAGAUGCCCUUUGCUGCUUGUUGCCCUGGAGGAGGAUGAAACCAACGCAGCUCAUCUUGUACUCCAGGGAGCUACCUGAAGACGCAGGCAGAGUGCUGAAGUGUCCGGCAGAGAAGGGAAAUGUGAGGUGUUGGAACUGAGUCCUCCUAUCUGGAGUCCAAACUUACACUGUAGGGCAUUCUGGAUGUAGGGACUAGAGUGUGAAAAAAGCGAGCAGAAACAGAAAAAGGCUGUUUUA
Lepisosteus oculatus (spotted gar) is the source of this 1377-nucleotide long non-coding RNA. RefSeq lists it as uncharacterized. The record is from RefSeq and is a predicted model, not a curated record. NCBI's taxonomy places the organism in Eukaryota, Metazoa, Chordata, Actinopteri, Semionotiformes, Lepisosteidae.